RNAcentral lists this ribosomal RNA (468 nucleotides) under uncultured bacterium. RNAcentral describes it as "partial 16S ribosomal RNA". It matches the Rfam family "Bacterial small subunit ribosomal RNA", at positions 28 to 507 of the family's 1533-position model. The record is from RNAcentral.
GACGAACGCUGGCGGCGUGCUUAACACAUGCAAGUCGAACGGAAAGGCCCUGCUUUUGUGCGGUUCUCGAGUGGCGAACGGGUGAGUAACACGUGAGUAACCUGCCCUUGACUUUGGGAUAACUUCAGGAAACUGGGGCUACUACCGGAUAGGAUCUCCUGCUCCAUGGUGGGGGUUGGAAAGUUUCGGCGGUUGGGGAUGGACUCGCGGCUUAUGAGCUUGUUGGUGGGGGAGUGGCUUACCAAGGCUGUGACGGGUAGCCGGCAUGAGAGGGUGACCGGCCACAAUGGGACUGCGAGACGGCCCAGACUCGUACGGGAGGCAGCAGGGGGGAAUAUUGCACAAUGGGAGGAAGCCUGAUGCAGCGACGCCGCGUGCGGGAUGACGGCCUGCGGGGUGUAAACCGCUUUCGCCUGUGACGAAGCGGGAGUGACGGUAAUGGGUAAAGAAGCACCGGCUAACUACGUG